UAUAUUUUCAUUUGGCUCUUGAUUUGUGUCCUUUAAUAUCCUUUGUAAUAAGCCAGUAACCUGGUGAGUAAAUGGGUUUCUUCAGUUCUGUGAGACACUCUAGCAAAUUAAUCAAACCCAAGGAGAGGGUCAUGGGAACCUCUGAUUUACAGCCAGUAAUAACCCAGGUUUAUGAUUGGCAUCUGAAGGGGAAGGUAGACUUUCAGGACUGGGCCCUUAACUGUGGGAUCUGAUGUCUUAUCUGGAUAGGUAGUGUCAGAAUUGAGAGGAACUGUAGCUUGGGACACCCAGCUGGUACCCAAGACUUGCUUGGAUGUGUGGGGGAAUGCCUCUGACACCACUGGAAAUUGAUGGCCAGACCCUUUGGAAGGAGCCCAGGAGAUGGAGUCACAGAGGUUAAGAUACUGGUUGGUGGCAGAGCCAGUACGAGGGAGCCUCAGAGGAGGUUCUUCUAAAAUCUACAUUACUGAAUCAGCUAAAUUUGGCACUUAGAAAUGGAUGCACUCUUUCAGGCCACAGGAUACAAUAUGGCAGUCUGCCAAGGUUGACUGAAAAAUUAAAAGAAUAAAAAGUCUCAUUAAUAUGUGAUAGUGGUUAGCUGAGUCAGUGUUCAUGUGUCAAUACUAAAUUACCUACUUAGGAAGCUAACAAGCUGACUUCAUAAUACUGAUCAUAGAUGCUGCACUAUAAAUUCUAGCAGAAUAAUUUUAAAAAACACUAUAAGUAACUUGGUAGUAUUUUAUAUACUUGAAAGUCCAUAAUUUCC
Camelus dromedarius (Arabian camel) is the source of this 766-nucleotide long non-coding RNA. RefSeq lists it as uncharacterized. Lineage: Eukaryota; Metazoa; Chordata; Mammalia; Artiodactyla; Camelidae. The record is from RefSeq and is a predicted model, not a curated record. The transcript has 3 exons.